Molecule: ribosomal RNA, 465 nt
Filed under: uncultured bacterium
Lineage: Bacteria
Description: partial 16S ribosomal RNA
Rfam family: Bacterial small subunit ribosomal RNA
Source: RNAcentral
CCUACGGGAGGCAGCAGUAGGGAAUCUUCCACAAUGGACGAAAGUCUGAUGGAGCAACGCCGCGUGAGUGAAGAAGGGUUUCGGCUCGUAAAGCACUGUUGGUAGUGAAGAAAGAUAGAGGUAGUAACUGGCCUUUAUUUGACGGUAAUUACUUAGAAAGUACCGGCUAACUACGUGCCAGCAGCCGCGGUAAUACGUAGGUGGCAAGCGUUGUCCGGAUUUAUUGGGCGUAAAGCGAGUGCAGGCGGUUCAAUAAGUCUGAUGUGAAAGCCUUCGGCUCAACCGGAGAAUUGCAUCAGAAACUGUUGAACUAGAGUGCAGAAGAGGAGAGUAGAACUCCAUGUGUAGCGGUGGAAUGCGUAGAUAUAUGGAAGAACACCAGUGGCGAAGGCGGCUCUCUGGUCUGCGACUGACGCUGAGGCUCGAAAGCAUGGGUAGCGAACAGGAUUAGAUACCCUUGUAGUC